Molecule: transfer RNA, 76 nt
Filed under: Buchnera aphidicola (Cinara kochiana kochiana)
Lineage: Bacteria; Pseudomonadati; Pseudomonadota; Gammaproteobacteria; Enterobacterales; Erwiniaceae
Description: transfer RNA Threonine
Rfam family: tRNA
About the family: Transfer RNA (tRNA) molecules are approximately 80 nucleotides in length. Their secondary structure includes four short double-helical elements and three loops (D, anti-codon, and T loops). Further hydrogen bonds mediate the characteristic L-shaped molecular structure. tRNAs have two regions of fundamental functional importance: the anti-codon, which is responsible for specific mRNA codon recognition, and the 3' end, to which the tRNAs corresponding amino acid is attached (by aminoacyl-tRNA synthetases). tRNAs cope with the degeneracy of the genetic code in two manners: having more than one tRNA (with a specific anti-codon) for a particular amino acid; and 'wobble' base-pairing, i.e. permitting non-standard base-pairing at the 3rd anti-codon position.
Source: RNAcentral
GCCGGCUUAGCUCAGCAGGUAGAGCAACUGACUUGUAAUCAGUAGGUCACCAGUUCAAUUCCGGUAGCCGGCACAA